RNAcentral lists this ribosomal RNA (412 nucleotides) under uncultured bacterium. Its description in RNAcentral is "bacterial SSU rRNA". It matches the Rfam family "Bacterial small subunit ribosomal RNA", at positions 355 to 766 of the family's 1533-position model. The record is from RNAcentral.
UAAGGAAUAUUGCUCAAUGGGAGAAAUCCUGAAGCAGCAACGCCGCGUGGAGGAUGAAGGGUCUAUGACUUGUAAACUCCUGUAAAGAAGGAAAAAAUUCCCAUUAGAUGGGAGAUGAUGGUACUUCUGGAGUAAGCCCCGGCUAACUACGUGCCAGCAGCCGCGGUAAUACGUAGGGGGCAAGCGUUGUCCGGAUUUACUGGGUGUAAAGGGUGCUCAGGCGGAUUUGUAAGUCAGAGGUGAAAUCUUACAGCUUAACUGUGAAACUGCCUUUGAUACUGCAAGCCUAGAGUAUGGAAGAGAGUGAUGGAAUAUCUGGUGUAGCAGUGAAAUGCGUAGAUAUCAGAUAGAACACCAAUGGCGAAGGCAGUCACUUGGUCCAUUACUGACGCUAAAGCACGAAAGCGUGGGU